RNAcentral lists this ribosomal RNA (301 nucleotides) under uncultured bacterium. RNAcentral describes it as "partial 16S ribosomal RNA". It matches the Rfam family "Bacterial small subunit ribosomal RNA", at positions 509 to 807 of the family's 1533-position model. The record is from RNAcentral.
CAGUAGCCACGGUAAUACAGAGGAUGCAAGCGUUAUCCGGAAUGAUUGGGCGUAAAGCGUCUGUAGGUGGCUUUUCAAGUCCGCCGUCAAAUCCCAGGGCUCAACCCUGGACAGGCGGUGGAAACUACCAAGCUGGAGUACGGUAGGGGCAGAGGGAAUUUCCGGUGGAGCGGUGAAAUGCGCUGAGAUCGGAAAGAACACCGACGGCGAAAGCACUCUGCUGGGCCGACACUGACACUGAGAGACGAAAGCUAGGGGAGCAAAUGGGAUUAGAUACCCCCGUAGUCCCUGUCUCUUAUAC